This 226-nucleotide long non-coding RNA is filed under the name Elaeis guineensis (African oil palm). Its description in RNAcentral is "long non-coding RNA (EGUI_LNC055738)". Lineage: Eukaryota; Viridiplantae; Streptophyta; Magnoliopsida; Arecales; Arecaceae. The record is from RNAcentral.
AUGGAAGAACUCAAUAUCAUUUUCACAUCUAUAAAUGAGUUUUAAGGUUGGACUUUGAAAUACAUUUCUUGGAGUAAAAAUGUGUUUCCAAUUCAAUUCAACUCUCAUUCAUUUUCAAGAAUGAUUAUACAAACCAAAUUUAUAAAAGUUUGGUACAUGAAAAAUUCAGCAUUAUGUUUAGAUUUAUACAUAAGUUUUAAAAUUAUUUUAACUCCAAUAAGUCAUC